UGGGGAAUCUUGCACAAUGGGGGAAACCCUGAUGCAGCGACGCCGCGUGAGCGAUGAAGGUUUUCGAAUCGUAAAGCUCUGUCCUAUGGGAAGAUAAUGACGGUACCAUGGGAGGAAGCCCCGGCUAACUACGUGCCAGCAGCCGCGGUAAUACGUAGGGGGCGAGCGUUGUCCGGAAUUACUGGGCGUAAAGGGUUCGCAGGCGGCAUGGCAAGUCCGAUGUAAAAGGCGAAGGCUCAACCUUCGUAAGCAUCGGAAACUGUCAAGCUUGAGUGAAGGAGAGGCAGGUGGAAUUCCUAGUGUAGCGGUGGAAUGCGUAGAUAUUAGGAGGAAUACCGGUGGCGAAGGCGACUUGCUGGACUUCAACUGACGCUGAGGAACGAAAGCGUGGGUAGCAAACAGG
RNAcentral lists this ribosomal RNA (403 nucleotides) under Fusobacteriota bacterium. Its description in RNAcentral is "Fusobacteria bacterium partial 16S ribosomal RNA". It matches the Rfam family "Bacterial small subunit ribosomal RNA", at positions 355 to 776 of the family's 1533-position model. Lineage: Bacteria; Fusobacteriati; Fusobacteriota. The record is from RNAcentral.